GUGAAAUUUUUCAUAGAAUAUGUUACAGUAACUCGAGCAAAACUCAUGACAAUUCUCUCUCUAAUUGUACAUACCCGAAUUAUAAGUAAUUCACGUACGAAGGAUUACAGAAUUAGAACACAUUGAUCUGAAUACUUAAAAUGUAAAAUAAACCUCAGAAACCAAAAAGGAUAAAUUAGAAGUGCUACUUGAAAAUCCAACGUCUUUCUCAAGAUAACUGAUCUAAUCAUCAACCUCAGCUUUAAUCUCCUUUUGCAAUUCUUCCUUGUAUUCCUCGAAAGUUCCAGGGAAAAACUCCACAGUGCCAUUUUCAACAACCCAAAUUUCACUUUUUUCUUCAUCCUCGCAGACACGUGAUAUGAGUCUGGAAUCAUGACUAACCAGAACAACUCCACCAGUGAACUCAUCCAAGGCAUCUGCAAGUGCAUCAAUACUCUGCAUGUCCAAGUGAUUCGUCGGUUCAUCAAGCAGUAAUAUGUGUGGCUUUGACAUGGAAAUUGAGGUAAAAACAACCCUGGCUUUUUGGCCACCAGAUAAUUUAGCAAUUGGCGUGAGGUGAUUGUGGCUAGGGAGUCCAAACUUCCCCAGCUUAGCACGAACAGCCUCCUGCUUACUUAGACCCUCUUGAUCAGGAUGAAGACGAAGAAGAUAUUGAACUGGUGUUUCCUCCAUUGUCAGAAGAUCAACAAAAUGCUGUGAGU
RNAcentral lists this unclassified non-coding RNA (701 nucleotides) under Hevea brasiliensis (rubber tree). The record is from RNAcentral. Lineage: Eukaryota; Viridiplantae; Streptophyta; Magnoliopsida; Malpighiales; Euphorbiaceae.